RNAcentral lists this ribosomal RNA (433 nucleotides) under uncultured bacterium. RNAcentral describes it as "partial 16S ribosomal RNA". It matches the Rfam family "Bacterial small subunit ribosomal RNA", at positions 29 to 507 of the family's 1533-position model. The record is from RNAcentral.
AACGAACGCUGGCGGCAUGCCUAACACAUGCAGGUCGAACGAGACCUUCGGGUCUAGUGGCGCACGGGUGCGUAACGCGUGGGAACCUGCCCUUAGGUUCGGAAUAACUCCCCGAAAGGGGUGCUAAUACCGGAUAAUUUCUUCGGACCAAAGAUUUAUCGCCUUUGGAUGGGCCCGCGUUGGAUUAGCUAGUUGGUAGGGUAAAAGCCUACCAAGGCGACGAUCCAUAGCUGGUCUGAGAGGAUGAUCAGCCACACUGGGACUGAGACACGGCCCAGACUCCUACGGGAGGCAGCAGUGGGGAAUAUUGGACAAGGGGCGAAAGCCUGAUCCAGCAAUGCCGCGUGAGUGAUGAAGGCCUUAGGGUUGUAAAGCUCUUUUACCCGGGAUGAUAAUGACAGUACCGGGAGAAUAAGCACCGGCUAACUCCGUG